RNAcentral lists this ribosomal RNA (245 nucleotides) under uncultured Eubacteriales bacterium. RNAcentral describes it as "uncultured Clostridiales bacterium partial 16S ribosomal RNA". It matches the Rfam family "Bacterial small subunit ribosomal RNA", at positions 524 to 768 of the family's 1533-position model. Lineage: Bacteria; Bacillati; Bacillota; Clostridia; Eubacteriales. The record is from RNAcentral.
UACGUAGGUGGCGAGCGUUAUCCGGAAUGACUGGGUGUAAAGGGAGCGCAGGCGGGUGUUCAAGUUGGAUGUGAAAUACCGAGGCUCAACCUCGGAGCUGCAUCCAAAACUGUACAUCUUGAGUGGAGUAGAGGCAAGCGGAAUUCCGAGUGUAGCGGUGAAAUGCGUAGAUAUUCGGAGGAACACCGGUGGCGAAGGCGGCUUGCUGGGCUCUAACUGACGCUGAGGCUCGAAAGUGUGGGUAG